RNAcentral lists this ribosomal RNA (464 nucleotides) under uncultured bacterium. RNAcentral's name for it is "SSU rRNA". It matches the Rfam family "Bacterial small subunit ribosomal RNA", at positions 26 to 518 of the family's 1533-position model. The record is from RNAcentral.
AGGACUAACGCUGGCGGCGUGCCUAACACAUGCAAGUCGAACGAGGUAGCAAUACCUAGUGGCAGACGGGUGAGUAACGCGUGGUCAACCUACCUCUUAGUGGGGGAUAACUAGCCGAAAGGUUAGCUAAUACCGCAUACGAUCGUCGCGAGGCAUCUCGUGACGAUGAAAGGAGCAAUUCGCUAAGAGAGGGGACUGCGUCCCAUUAGUUAGUUGGUGGGGUAAUGGCCUACCAAGACUCCGAUGGGUAGCUGGCUUGAGAGAGCGACCAGCCACACUGGAACUGAGACACGGUCCAGACUCCUACGGGAGGCAGCAGUGAGGAAUUUUCCGCAAUGGGCGCAAGCCUGACGGAGCGACGCCGCGUGUGGGAGAAGGCCUUCGGGUCGUAAACCACUGUCGAAGGGGACGAUAUUGACGGUACCCUUGGAGGAAGCCCCGGCUAACUACGCGCCAGCAGCCGC